UCCUACGGGAGGCAGCAGUAGGGAAUCUUCGGCAAUGGACGAAAGUCCGACCGAGCAACGCCGCGUGAGUGAAGAAGGUUUUCGGAUCGUAAAACUCUGUUGUUAGAGAAGAACAAGGAUGAGAGUAAAACGUUCAUCCCUUGACGGUAUCUAACCAGAAAGCCACGGCUAACUACGUGCCAGCAGCCGCGGUAAUACAA
Molecule: ribosomal RNA, 200 nt
Filed under: uncultured bacterium
Lineage: Bacteria
Description: partial 16S ribosomal RNA
Rfam family: Bacterial small subunit ribosomal RNA
Source: RNAcentral